ACGGAGGGUGCGAGCGUUAAUCGGAAUCACUGGGCGUAAAGCGCACGUAGGCGGUGUCGUAAGUCGGAUGUGAAAGCCCUCGGCUCAACCGGGGAACUGCAUUCGAUACUGCGAAGCUUGAGUGCCGGAGAGGGAAGUGGAAUUCCAGGUGUAGAAGUGAAAGUCGUAGAUAUCUGGAGGAACACCAGUGGCGAAGGCGACCUCCUGGCCGGAUACUGACGCUGAGGUGCGAGAGCGUGGGGAUCAAACAG
Molecule: ribosomal RNA, 251 nt
Filed under: uncultured prokaryote
Description: partial 16S rRNA
Rfam family: Bacterial small subunit ribosomal RNA
Source: RNAcentral